This 339-nucleotide ribosomal RNA is filed under the name uncultured Pseudomonadota bacterium. RNAcentral describes it as "bacterial SSU rRNA". It matches the Rfam family "Bacterial small subunit ribosomal RNA", at positions 29 to 351 of the family's 1533-position model. Lineage: Bacteria; Pseudomonadati; Pseudomonadota. The record is from RNAcentral.
AGCGAACGUUAGCGGCGGGCCUAACACAUGCAAGUCGCACGAGAAUUCGGCUUCGGCCGAUAGUAAAGUGGCGGACGGGUGAGUAACACGUGAGUAAUCUGCCCUUCAGUGGGGGAUAACAGUCCGAAAGGAUUGCUAAUACCGCAUUCGUCAGCCGGACCUCUGGGUCUGGUUGGGAAAGCAGGCCUCUUCAUGAAAGCUUGCGCUGGAGGAUGAGCUCGCGGCCCAUCAGCUAGUUGGUAGGGCAAUGGCCUACCAAGGCUAAGACGGGUAGCUGGUCUGAGAGGAUGAUCAGCCACACUGGGACUGAGACACGGCCCAGACUCCUACGGGAGGCAG